This 253-nucleotide ribosomal RNA is filed under the name uncultured bacterium. RNAcentral describes it as "partial 16S ribosomal RNA". It matches the Rfam family "Bacterial small subunit ribosomal RNA", at positions 524 to 776 of the family's 1533-position model. The record is from RNAcentral.
UACGUAGGGUGCAGGCGUUACUCGGAAUUACUGGGCGUAAAGCGUGCGCAGGCGGUUUGCUAAGACAGGUGUGAAAUCCCCGGGCUUAACCUGGGAACUGCGCUUGUUACUGGCAAGCUGGAGUGUGGCAGAGGGGGGUGGAAUUCCACGUGUAGCAGUGAAAUGCGUAGAGAUGUGGAGGAACACCGAUGGCGAAGGCAGCCCCCUGGGCUAACACUGACGCUCAUGCACGAAAGCGUGGGGAGCAAACAGG